AUGCACGCUGGCGGCGUGCCUAAUACCUGCAAGUCGAGCGAACAGACGAGGAGCUUGCUCCUCUGACGUUAGCGGCGGACGGGUGAGUAACACGUGGAUAACCUACCUAUAAGACUGGGAUAACUUCGGGAAACCGGAGCUAAUACCGGAUAAUAUAUUGAACCGCAUGGUUCAAUAGUGAAAGACGGUUUUGCUGUCACUUAUAGAUGGAUCCGCGCCGCAUUAGCUAGUUGGUAAGGUAACGGCUUACCAAGGCAACGAUGCGUAGCCGACCUGAGAGGGUGAUCGGCCACACUGGAACUGAGACACGGUCCAGACUCCUACGGGAGGCAGCAGUAGGGAAUCUUCCGCAAUGGGCGAAAGCUUGACGGAGCAACGCCGCGUGAGUGAUGAAGGUCUUCGGAUCGUAAAACUCUGUUAGUAGGGAAGAACAAAUGUGUAAGUAACUAUGCACGUCUUGACGGUACCUAAUCAGAAAGCCACGGCUAACUACGUG
RNAcentral lists this ribosomal RNA (496 nucleotides) under uncultured bacterium. RNAcentral describes it as "partial 16S ribosomal RNA". It matches the Rfam family "Bacterial small subunit ribosomal RNA", at positions 29 to 507 of the family's 1533-position model. The record is from RNAcentral.